RNAcentral lists this unclassified non-coding RNA (312 nucleotides) under plant metagenome. RNAcentral's name for it is "partial contains 5.8S ribosomal RNA, internal transcribed spacer 2, and large subunit ribosomal RNA". The stretch from base 1 to 105 matches the Rfam family "5.8S ribosomal RNA", at positions 50 to 154 of the family's 154-position model. The record is from RNAcentral.
GAAAUGCGAUAAGUAAUGUGAAUUGCAGAAUUCCGUGAAUCAUCGAAUCUUUGAACGCACAUUGCGCCCUCUGGCAUUCCGGGGGGCAUGCCUGUCCGAGCGUCAUUACGCACCCUCAAGCCCGGCUUGUGUGAUGGGCCCUGGCGUCUCGUUCGCGAGACGGGCCCGAAAGGCAGCGGCGGCGUCGACACGAUGAGCCCGAGCGUAUGGGGACUUUUGUCACACGUUUGCGGUGCGGACCGGCGCCUGCUUGACUUUUCUGAUUAUCCAGGUUGACCUCGGAUCAGGUAGGGAUACCCGCUGAACUUAAGC